UGAGCCGGCCGGGCGGCCGCGGUCCGGGGGAUGCCCCCGGGUCGAGGAACGUCCGGGCUCCACAGGGCAGGGCGGUGGGCAACACCCACCCGGGGCGACCCGCGGGAAAGUGCCACAGAGAACAGACCGCCCGCGCGAGAGCGCGGGCAAGGGUGAAACGGUGGUGUAAGAGACCACCAGCGCCCGGGGCAACCCGGGCGGCUAGGCAAACCCCGCCCGGAGCAAGACCCAGCAGGGAACGUCCGAGGGCUGCCCGCCCGAGUUCCCGGGUAGGUCGCUAGAGGCGCGCGGCAACGCGCGUCCCAGAUGGAUGGCCGCCACCGCGCCAACCCGGGCAACCGGGGCGCGGCACAGAACCCGGCGUACAGGCCGGCUCAUCCG
This 381-nucleotide RNase P RNA is filed under the name Bifidobacteriaceae bacterium. RNAcentral describes it as "RNase P RNA component class A". It matches the Rfam family "Bacterial RNase P class A". Rfam says of the family: Ribonuclease P (RNase P) is a ubiquitous endoribonuclease, found in archaea, bacteria and eukarya as well as chloroplasts and mitochondria. The record is from RNAcentral. Lineage: Bacteria; Bacillati; Actinomycetota; Actinomycetes; Bifidobacteriales; Bifidobacteriaceae.